GAUGAACGCUGGCGGCGUGCUUAACACAUGCAAGUCGAACGAUGAAGCCCAGCUUGCUGGGUGGAUUAGUGGCGAACGGGUGAGUAACACGUGAGCAACCUGCCCCGGACUCUGGGAUAAGCGCUGGAAACGGCGUCUAAUACUGGAUAUGUCCCGUCACCGCAUGGUGUGCGGGUGGAAAGAUUUUUCGGUUGGGGAUGGGCUCGCGGCCUAUCAGCUUGUUGGUGAGGUAAUGGCUCACCAAGGCGUCGACGGGUAGCCGGCCUGAGAGGGUGACCGGCCACACUGGGACUGAGACACGGCCCAGACUCCUACGGGAGGCAGCAGUGGGGAAUAUUGCACAAUGGGCGGAAGCCUGAUGCAGCAACGCCGCGUGAGGGAUGACGGCCUUCGGGUUGUAAACCUCUUUUAGCAGGGAAGAAGCGAAAGUGACGGUACCUGCAGAAAAAGCACCGGCUAACUACGUG
RNAcentral lists this ribosomal RNA (467 nucleotides) under uncultured bacterium. Its description in RNAcentral is "partial 16S ribosomal RNA". It matches the Rfam family "Bacterial small subunit ribosomal RNA", at positions 28 to 507 of the family's 1533-position model. The record is from RNAcentral.